This 460-nucleotide ribosomal RNA is filed under the name uncultured bacterium. RNAcentral's name for it is "partial 16S ribosomal RNA". It matches the Rfam family "Bacterial small subunit ribosomal RNA", at positions 338 to 795 of the family's 1533-position model. The record is from RNAcentral.
CCUACGGGAGGCAGCAGUGAGGAAUAUUGGUCAAUGGACGCAAGUCUGAACCAGCCAAGCCGCGUGCAGGAUGACGGCCCUAUGAGUUGUAAACUGCUUUUGUACGAGGGUAAACCCCGAUACGUGUAUCGGGUUGAAAGUACCGUAUGAAUAAGGAUCGGCUAACUCCGUGCCAGCAGCCGCGGUAAUACGGAGGAUCCGAGCGUUAUCCGGAUUUAUUGGGUUUAAAGGGUGCGUAGGCGGGUUGAUAAGUUAGAGGUGAAAUGUCGGGGCUCAACCCCAAAACUGCAUCUGAUACUGUUGGACUUGAGAAUAGUUGCGGUAGGCGGAAUGUAUGGUGUAGCGGUGAAAUGCUUAGAGAUCAUGCAGAACACCGAUUGCGAAGGCAGCUUACCAAACUAUAUCUGACGUUGAGGCACGAAAGCGUGGGUAGCAAACAGGAUUAGAUACCCGGGUAGUC